RNAcentral lists this ribosomal RNA (1378 nucleotides) under metagenome. RNAcentral describes it as "SSU rRNA". It matches the Rfam family "Eukaryotic small subunit ribosomal RNA", at positions 257 to 1685 of the family's 1831-position model. The record is from RNAcentral.
UAACUGAUCGAAUCUCUUUUUGAGAUAAAUCAUUCAAGUUUCUGCCCUAUCAGCUUUCGAUGGUAGUGUAUUGGACUACCAUGGCAGUAACGGGUAACGAAGAAUUAGGGUUCGAUUUCGGAGAGGGAGCAUGAGAAACGGCUACCACAUCUAAGGAAGGCAGCAGGCGCGUAAAUUACCCAAUCCUGACUCAGGGAGGUAGUGACAAGAAAUAGCAAACCGGGAACCUCAUGGUUUCACGGUAUUGCAAUGAGAACAAUUUAAAACCCUUAGCGAGAAUCAAGUGGAGGACAAGUCUGGUGCCAGCACCCGCGGUAAUUCCAGCUCCACUAGCGUAUAUUAAAGUUGUUGCAGUUAAAAAGCUCGUAGUUGAACCUCUGUCUGGGGCUAGUUUUGGCUUUGGUCAGGCUAGUUCUAGGCAUCCGCCUACAAGACUUAGAGGGCAUUCAGUUGUUCACUAGGAGGAGUAGGCAUUUUACUUUGAAAAAAUUAGAGUGUUUAAGGCAGGCAAUCGCCCGCAUAUAUUAGCAUGGAAUAAUAGAAUAGGACACUUUUCCAUUUCGUUGGUUAUUGGAAUCGUGUAAUGAUUAAUAGGGACAGUUGUGGGCAUUUGUAUUUAAUUGUCAGAGGUGAAAUUCUUGGAUUUAUUAAAGACAAACUAACGCGAAAGCAUUUGCCAAGGAUGUUUUCAUUAAUCAAGAACGAAAGUUAGGGGAUCAAAGACGAUCAGAUACCGUCCUAGUCUAAACUAUAAACUAUUCCGACUCAAUGCUUGACUGGCUUAUAUAACCAGUUGAGCGUUGUAUGAGAAAUCAAAGUCUUUAGGUUCUGGGGGGAGUAUGGUUGCAAAGCUGAAACUUAAAGGAAUUGACGGAAGAGCACAACCAGGAGUGGAUUCUGCGGCUUAAUUUGACUCAACACGGGGAAACUUACCAGGUUAAAACAAUAGUGGGAUUGACAGUUUGAGAGCGCUUUCUUGAUUGGUUGGGUGGUGGUGCAUGGCCGUUCUUAGUUGGUGGAGUGAUUUGUCUGCUUAAUUGCGUUAACGAACGAGACCUUAACCUGCUUACUAGACUGGCGAUCAUCAAUCGUUAGCUCUUCUUAGAGGGACUUUGGUUGUUUUAACUCCAAGGAAGUUCGAGGCAAUAACAGGUCUGUGAUGCCCUUAGAUAUCCUGGGCCGCACGCGUCAUACAAUGACCAGUUCAGAAAGUUUUCUCCUGACCCGAAAGGGGAUGGGUAAUCUUGAUAAUACUAGUCGUGUUAGGGAUCGAUCUUUGCAAUUAUAGAUCUUGAACGAGGAAUUCCUAGUAAGUGCGGUUCAUCAGACCGUACUGAUUACGUCCCUGCUCUUUGUACACACCGCCCGUCGCUUCUAC